Molecule: transfer RNA, 75 nt
Filed under: Chondrocystis sp. NIES-4102
Lineage: Bacteria; Bacillati; Cyanobacteriota; Cyanophyceae; Chroococcales; Chroococcaceae
Description: tRNA-Arg
Rfam family: tRNA
About the family: Transfer RNA (tRNA) molecules are approximately 80 nucleotides in length. Their secondary structure includes four short double-helical elements and three loops (D, anti-codon, and T loops). Further hydrogen bonds mediate the characteristic L-shaped molecular structure. tRNAs have two regions of fundamental functional importance: the anti-codon, which is responsible for specific mRNA codon recognition, and the 3' end, to which the tRNAs corresponding amino acid is attached (by aminoacyl-tRNA synthetases). tRNAs cope with the degeneracy of the genetic code in two manners: having more than one tRNA (with a specific anti-codon) for a particular amino acid; and 'wobble' base-pairing, i.e. permitting non-standard base-pairing at the 3rd anti-codon position.
Source: RNAcentral
GGGCGAGUAGCUCAGUGGAUUAGAGCAUUUGGCUACGAACCAAAAGGUCAGGGGUUCAAAUCCCUUCUCGCUCAC